GACGUAGGGCGCGAGCGUUGUCCGGAUUUAUUGGGCGUAAAGAGCUCGUAGGCGGUGUGUCGCGUCGGCCGUGAAAACCUGCAGCUUAACUGUGGGCUUGCGGUCGAUACGGGCAUCACUGGAGUUCGGCAGGGGAGACUGGAAUUCCUGGUGUAGCGGUGAAAUGCGCAGAUAUCAGGAGGAACACCGGUGGCGAAGGCGGGUCUCUGGGCCGAUACUGACGCUGAGGAGCGAAAGCGUGGGAGCGAACAGG
RNAcentral lists this ribosomal RNA (253 nucleotides) under uncultured bacterium. Its description in RNAcentral is "partial 16S ribosomal RNA". It matches the Rfam family "Bacterial small subunit ribosomal RNA", at positions 524 to 776 of the family's 1533-position model. The record is from RNAcentral.